UCCUCCUCGUCUCCUCUGCGCAGCCGCCGCCCGUCUUCCUCCUCUCCUCUGCGCCGCCGCCGCUGCUCCCUUCCUCCUUCCCUCGCGUCGCCGCUCUCCUCCCUCCUUCCCCUUGUGCAGCCACGGCCCAUCUUCCUCCCCUUCCCACGGGGUGACGACGCACGAGCGGACGGACGUGGUGCCUCCCGCGGCAAGUCCGACGGCGACGAGAGCCUUCGCUCAGACCAAUUUCGCCUAGGGUGGUGGACGUGGUGGAGCCGCAGGGUUUGCUUACAACGCUUGUGGGCAGCACACCGCCGCCCAGUAUGUGGUUGCGUUGGAUGUUGUUGUUGGCGAGUUUGGGUUUUGUUUCGAAGCAAGCAAUAGCUGGACAAGAAGGUUAUCUUCCGAGCCACGGCAUUGAUCCGUUCGUGAUCGCUACUCACUCCGAUGGAGGCCAGGGAGCAUUUGUUUACUGGAUCUAUCCGCUGGGAGAUGGUAGCUCGGGAUAUCUUCAAACGGUUUGGAUGGCGGUCAUGUAAUAGGAUAGGCAAUUAGUUAACCUAUCUAUCUUUAGCCAGCCGGUUGUGGCGUCCCUUUUUUGGCUAGUUUAUCUUUCUAGCCCUUUUUGGCUCUGAGUGAGCUCUUUUUUUUCAGUUGGAGACCUUGAGACCUUGU
This is a long non-coding RNA of Triticum dicoccoides, 657 nucleotides long. RefSeq lists it as uncharacterized. The record is from RefSeq and is a predicted model, not a curated record. The transcript has 3 exons. NCBI's taxonomy places the organism in Eukaryota, Viridiplantae, Streptophyta, Magnoliopsida, Poales, Poaceae.